AUUUAUCAGCUGUGACAUUAGAUAAUGCAUCGUAAAGACUUGACUCCAAUAUCCAAUUGCGACAAUAAUUAAUUGUCGACAGGUUUAUUUUCUUAUAGACAGUAGGUUUACUACUGUUGUUGUUGAUUACGUCUGCUUGGUGGAACAUAUGCUCCCUUAGAAGGAGCAAGGGUCUCACGAGGAGGAACAGAACCACGAGAGUAGCCACCACGAGAAUACCUUGGAGAGUCUCGUGA
Schizosaccharomyces pombe (fission yeast) is the source of this 236-nucleotide non-coding RNA. NCBI's taxonomy places the organism in Eukaryota, Fungi, Ascomycota, Schizosaccharomycetes, Schizosaccharomycetales, Schizosaccharomycetaceae. The record is from the annotation of a GenBank genome assembly.